Molecule: long non-coding RNA, 2572 nt
Organism: Cydia pomonella (codling moth)
Lineage: Eukaryota; Metazoa; Arthropoda; Insecta; Lepidoptera; Tortricidae
Exons: 2
Source: RefSeq, a predicted model, not a curated record
GUAUUUUGAAACCAGAGUAAUAAAAUAAUACGUAAUGUUGGAAGCAGAACCAAAUAACGAACCGACCAUACUAGAUUACCUGAACGAAGAUUGUUGGCGCGCCGUGCUACAGUUCGUGCCCGUCCAGGACAUUGUAAAAAGCGAACGCGUCAGCCGCCGGUGGCAGCAAGUGGUGCUGCUGUACUUGAAAAGGACCCGGUUUAGUUUUGUUUCAGUUGAGGUAUCUGAUUAUGCGGACCCUUCAAAUGCCUUUAUGUUUAUUUUGCCGAAGUCAAUGUACAAAUCAUUCGAAAGUUGGACAACUAAACUAGGCAAAUCAGUAGCUGGUACCUACUGCAUGAAUCAUAAGAGUUUAAAAAAAUUGACAGAAAACUGUCCCAAUCUUAAAGCUUUGACGCUGAUCAAACUCGACGAACCCAGAGCCAGUAAAAAACAAUUUCAACAGAAUUUAGUCAAAGACUUGCAGUGUGUAAAAUAGCUGUGUUUCAGUACAAGUAACAUCUCAGACCGAUUUGUCAGCCAGUCCAUAGCAGACAAAGCAUUAGAAGAACUAGAAUUCAAUGACUGUUAUAAAAUCACAGGGGAAUAUUUGAUUUCUGUAAACUUAUCUAACUUGAAAUUUCUUGCCUUCAAGAAGUGCCUUAAAUUGCAACCUCGGCACAUAAUUUCAUCUGCCAACCAACUUGGUGAGCUGACAAAACUCGAACUAAUUGAUAUACCUAAAAAGAUAUCAAAGAAAAUUCAGUUAGUAUUGGACAAGAUGCCUAAAUUAGAAUGGCUAGAAAUAAACACCCAUUGUAGAAGGCUGAAUCCAUGUUAUCUAGUAAACUAUGAGCCUCUCUGUCGCCUCGGUCACUUAAAAUAUCUGAAUACCAACCUCAAAGUAACAGACGAGUCUGUGGAAGCUAUAACUAGGUUUUGUAAGGAGCUGCAAACCUUGAAAUUAGGUGACUGUGAGAGUCUUAACUCGGAGGGCUUGGAGGCAAUCAGUCGAAAUGCAGGAGACCGGCUCACUGAGCUUGGGCUACAUUUUUUCUGUUACCUAGGGAAUGAUGAUGUGGUAAAUUGUGUCUACAGGUGUCCUAAGCUCACAUGGCUCACGAUUAAUGGGUAUUCAUUAAAUUUGCUACAUUUUGAGCAAGACUAGCAACGUGCUCCGGCUUCUUGAACAUACAUACACACAGACAGAUGCGGCAGGGGACUUCGUUUUAUAAGAGUAAUAAAAUAAUACGAAAUGUUAGAAGCAGAAACAAAUAACGAAUGGACCAUACUAGAUUACCUGGACGAAGAUUGUUGGCGCGCCGUGCUACAGUUCGUGCCCGUCCAGGACAUUGUAAAAAGCGAGCGCGUCAGCCGCCGGUGGCAGCAAGUGGUGCUGCUGUACUUGAAAGGGACCCGGUUUAGUUUUGUCUCAAUUGAGGUAUUUGAUUAUGCGGACCCUUCAAAUGCCUUUAUGUUUAUUUUGCCGAAGUCAAUGUACGAAUCAUUCGAAAGUUGGACAACUAAACUAGGCAAAUCAGUAGCUGGUACCUACUGCAUGAAUCAUGAGAGUUUAAAAAUAUUAACAGAAAACUGUCCCAAUCUUGAAGCUUUGACGCUGAUCAAACUCGACGAACCCAAAGCCAGUAAAAAACGAUUUCAACAAAAUUUAAUCAAACACUUGCAGUGUGUAAAACAGUUGUUUCAGUACAAGUAACAUCUCAGACCGAUUUGUCAGCCAGUCCAUAGCAGACAAAGCAUUAGAAGAACUAGAAUUCCAUGACUGUUAUGAAAUCACAGGGGAAUGUUUGAUUUCGGCAAACUUAUCUAACUUGAAAUUUCUUGCCUUCAAGAUGUGCCUUCAAUUGCAAGCUUGGCACAUAAUUUCAUUUACCAACCAACUUGGUGAGCUGACAAAACUCGAACUAAUUGAUAUACCUAAAAACAUAUCAAAGAAAAUUCAGUUAGUAUUGGACAAGAUGCCUAAAUUAGAAUGGCUUGAAAUAAACACCCAUCGUAGAAGGAUGAAUCUAUGUUAUCUAGUAAACUAUGAGCCUCUCUGUCGCCUCGGUCACUUGAAAUAUCUGAAUACCAACCUCAAAGUAACAGACGAGUCUGUGGAAGCCAUAACUCGGUGUUGUAAGGAGCUGCAAACCUUGGAAUUAGGUGACUGUGAGUGUCUUAACUCGGAGGGCUUGGAGGCAAUCUGUCGAAAUGCUGGAAACCGGCUCACUGAGCUUGGGCUACAAUUUUUCUGUUACCUAGAGGAUGAUGAUGUGGUAAAUUGUGUCCGCAGCUGUCCUGAGCUCACAUCGCUCACAAUUGGUGGGCCUUGUCAGAUAACCCCAGCUAUGCCAGCACGUGUGUCAGCUGCUCGCCAUGAAGUGAGUCCGGGACAACAACUAUGCCUGGACCUCAGUGAAACAAAUCUGAGUAACUCAGAAGGUAUGGAGGAAUUUGAAGACAUUGAGGAGGAGUAUGAGGACCUGUGUGUGUAUUUAAGUUGAAAAGUUGAAUUUUUAAAUCCUGUUUAAAUUGAGAAAUUGUAGACAUGUUGUUUUUUUUAUUAAUAAAGAAAAUGAUGUUAAUGUUA